RNAcentral lists this unclassified non-coding RNA (920 nucleotides) under Hevea brasiliensis (rubber tree). The record is from RNAcentral. Lineage: Eukaryota; Viridiplantae; Streptophyta; Magnoliopsida; Malpighiales; Euphorbiaceae.
UAAUAUUUUGCUUGCAGUAAUGGGGUUUAUUCAUAAGACGAGAAGCAAAACUAGCAAAUUGCUUUCCAACUUUAUCAAUUCAAGUAGAUAUAAAGCAUUUGCAUAGCACACAGGAUGAGAUGAGAUUUCAUCAAGAAGGACAUGUAUACAAGUUAUACUACUAACCAAACACAAUUUUCCAUCCGAAUCUUGUAUCCAAGAAGCGAUUCCCCAGCUUUCAGCACGACAUAUUUUGGACCACGAGGUUUCCCUCCACCUACAGCGGUAACAUUCAAAAGGAAUAGCAAGCAAACACAUGUUUGCAGCCAGAACUAAUUUUCUGGGGUUGGUUGUCGACGCAGGCGUCUCCGGGGACCUGAUCCUCCAUCAGAGUCGUCAUUCUCGUCAUCCCUAGUAUCAAUUUCCCCUUCAUAAGUUUCACCCCAAAGUCUUCUUGAAGGUCGUCUCCUCCCAGUUGCCUGAGCCCGGGUUCUUGAGGAACCUGACCAGCUACUACUCCGAGAACUACUCCUAGGUUGGAGAAUCCGAACAAAGAGAAAAACAGUCAGCAAACCACCCUCAUCAAAGGUUAAACUGGUGCUUUCACUACCCUCUUCUGAAACAGAUGACUGCAAUGUACUGAGCAGAUCUCCUAAAUCUCUCUGUCGUUCCAGCCUCCUCCAACUGCGCUGCCUCUCUGGGUCAGCUUCUGUAGGACGUACAAGAGGAUGCUCCUGCCUAGCAUGCUUACGCAAAUCUGUAUAUGUGCCACUGAACUCGCAUGUCUCGCUAGAGCAGCUUCUUAAUUUGGCAUUCAUGUGACGACGGGCAGAGUCUACAACAAUCCAAUCAUUUAUCUGGCCACGGCAGAGAGGGCAUAGCAUCUUCUAUAUCCCUAGAUGCCUUGUCUUGCGAGAACCAUGAAAUAAAGAAGAUGCUAU